CUGAUAGUUCAAUUAACGUUGAAUAAUCUAAUGUCAUGUGCUAUGAUUCUGCCUAUGUUUCUAUCAAGCAGAGUUUUCUAUUAUAUAGAAAUGGUCGGCCAAGGGCAAAAUUGUCAUUUUUGCUCUAAGAAAAAAUCUUCCGACUUUCCAUCUAUUAUUUUUGACACACAAACAUCUGCCGACUUCCAUCUCUUUGUACUUCAAUUCUCCUUCUCUUAGAUUUCAGAUAUUAUUCUCUCAGUCUUUGCUCACAUCUUCUUUAUCUUCUCUUGGUGUUCUUUUCUUUCUUUGCUUUUUUUAGAUCUGUUUAACAGUUUCCAAUUUCAUGGAUGAAUUUUCUUGAAUUUCGUGUUUUCCGACCAGAAGAUGCGGAUCACCAUUUUAAGGGUUAAUCUCCGUCCAAUUUUAUUAAUGUUGCUUUCUUCUUGCUGAUUCGCCUCUAUCUCUUCUUACGACAGAUUGAGUCACCAAAGGAAGUUUGUUGAUCCCCUAACAUUCCAAACCGAAAAUGGAGAAAUUUUGCUCAUUUUUGCUAGCCAGCAGACACAACGCAACGCAGGAGGGUAGAUCAUAAUGAUAGUUGCCACAAGGGGAAAAUGGAGAAAUUUUGCACCACUUCAAAGGCAGUCUGCAUUAUUAAAGCUCUCAAGAAUUUGUUUGAAGAAUACAUAGUAGCAGAUGUUUCCAGCAAUGCACAAAUAUUUGCAAUAUGGCUCUUAGUUGGACUUGUAUAUGUUAUCUCUUUUGUUCAUAGUGAAAACAAUGAUAGCAACUGAUACAUUUGGUUGAUCACGUAGCUUAGGAUUGCGGGUAGAAAAUGAAGAUCUAAUAAGGCGUAUGCUUGAGUUUGAUUUUUUAACUGUAUUUAAAGGAAGUGGAAGAAAAGGAAAUAUUUACUCAGUUUCAACAAGUCUAGGGAAGCAAUAUAUAUUGUUCUAUGUUUGUCACUA
Molecule: long non-coding RNA, 950 nt
Organism: Nicotiana attenuata
Lineage: Eukaryota; Viridiplantae; Streptophyta; Magnoliopsida; Solanales; Solanaceae
Exons: 2
Source: RefSeq, a predicted model, not a curated record